AGCUCCAAUAGCGUAUAUUAAAGAUGUUGCGGUUGACAAGUUUGUAGUUGGAUUUCUGCCGAGGACGGCCGGUCCGCCCUCUGGGUGAGUAUCUGGCUUGGCCUGGGCAUCUUCUUGGAGAACGCAGGUGCACUUGACUAUGCGGUGCGGUAUCCAGGACUUCUACUUUGAGGAAAUUAGAGUGUCUCAAGCAGGCAUGCGCCUUGAAUACAUUAGCAUGGAAUAAAAGAUAGGACCUCGGUUCUAUUUUGUUGGUUCCUAGAGCUGAGGUAAUGAUUAAUAGUGAUAGUUGCGGGCAUUCGUAUCUAACUGUCAGAGGUGAAAAUCUUGGAAUUGUUAAAGACGGACUACUGCGAAAGCAUUUGCCAUUUUGUUUCCA
Molecule: ribosomal RNA, 379 nt
Filed under: uncultured eukaryote
Lineage: Eukaryota
Description: SSU rRNA
Rfam family: Eukaryotic small subunit ribosomal RNA
Source: RNAcentral